GGGAAACUCUGGAAACAAUCUCCUGGAUUGUCCCUCAGGAGAAGGCAACCUACCCUUAUGUCAGGGUGAGCUUAAGACUGAGCAACAUGUGAGGCAGGACCAGUGGGCUUGGCCCAAGUCAGGCCCCCAAACCUCUUGAGUGUUCAAGCAGUGGACUCCAGGGAGCAUUUUUUUAAUAAUAUGUUUCAUGUUCCAGGUCAAAUCAGCCAAAUCAGUUCCAAAUCCUAUCGAUUCAGCAGGAUUCAAUCAUCCAGAAAACCAUAUUGAUCGAGCAGGCAGAACUCAACCGUUCCAAACACCGUGCAAGCUGCUACGACUGGUGAGCAUCCUCUGUCCCAGAUCCAACACCCCGGGACUUCAGAUACUCCCAAAUCCAUUGGCAGGCAUCCUAUGCACAGCCCCAAGCAGGAGAGCGGUUUCUUGCCAGGAGCCUCAGCCCCAUUCGGGAAGGUGCUGCAUGCCUUUAACUUCCUGACAUGGUGGGUGCCAAGAACUUGCACUCCAAUUCAGAGUGACUAAUGACAAAGUUUCCUUCAGCUUUCCGAGAUGUACUUUAACACCUUGACCCUAACAAAUCAGCCUCAGCCAGCUUUUGCUCCCACCCCGAGGCAUUGCUCUUGUGAGCUGAAUUCUGCACAGCACUGAAGUGCUUGUAAUCUGCCUUCCCCCUUCUCUUGCAUUCAUCAGCUUUCCUUUCGCUAGGAUCUACUUUGCAGUUAGUCACUCAGCAAUAUGCAGCAUAACGGGCUUUAAUUUUCCUUGCUGGGCAGACAUGAAAUGUUCUUUCAUUUUCUGCAAUCCACGGCUGACGCAUGUUUUACUGGCCAGGGCUUGGCUGAGCCUCUGAUGCCUGCAGCUCGGUGCGAUUCUAUUUUGAGGCUGUACCAGCAUCUUCUGGAUUGGGCAGUUCUUCCCCAUGCUACUUGCUAUCUCUGGAGGAUGAUGAAGUAACGUUGGCUCAAAAUGCCACAGAAAGUUCCUUCCUUGCAGCAGCUUAGUGCUCCAGUUGGAUGUAUUAACAGCUUCAUGGAUGGUCAGAUGAAGCAGCUGCACCUCACACACUUUGCACUUGCAACUACCAGCUCUACAGACACCAAUGGGGGCCUGAGAGCUGAGCUGGUUCCUUGACUCAUUGGGCAUUACCACCAGCAAGACUUUGCAACUCAGAUGUAUUAUGUCCUAAUGAUACUUAUGAUCCUAACCCUUCAGGGGUUUUACUGAGGCAUAAUCCAUGAGAAUUUACAAGUAAGUCUGUUGCCGAUGUAUGAGAGGAAAUCGAGUCAGUCUCACCCUCCUAAAACUGUGUUGGCUUCUGAAGAAUUAACAAUAGUAAAAAACAAUAAAAUAAUCAUUUUAUCUACCAGGUACAUUCACCCCUGAAUAUACAGAUCUGUUGAGUUAGACAAGCCAUUUUUGUGUAAUCCUUUUUGGGAGAACUGCUUCUCCAGAAGUGAUGAAGUAACGUUUUUACUUACGCAGUAUAAUUAAAUUUUGGAAAGUGGA
Alligator mississippiensis (American alligator) is the source of this 1503-nucleotide long non-coding RNA. RefSeq lists it as uncharacterized. The record is from RefSeq and is a predicted model, not a curated record. The transcript is spliced from 2 exons. NCBI's taxonomy places the organism in Eukaryota, Metazoa, Chordata, Crocodylia, Alligatoridae.